RNAcentral lists this long non-coding RNA (706 nucleotides) under Trifolium pratense (red clover). RNAcentral's name for it is "long non-coding RNA (TPRA_LNC012163)". The record is from RNAcentral. Lineage: Eukaryota; Viridiplantae; Streptophyta; Magnoliopsida; Fabales; Fabaceae.
GAAAUUCUUCAAACCCGUACCCAUAACUUUCUGCAGUUAUGGGUAAAGCAAACAGAAUCUCAAACCGAGUUAUAGAGAGGGCGCAGUUAACCUUUAAGUGUAGCACUGUCCAAACACAUUUUCUGCAGAAAUCCUGUUUCGUAUCUUCAACUUUAACAUCACCUACAUAACGCAUUGUAACUCCGAAUCCGAUGAAAUUUGAUAUUCCAACAAGGGUAAAUUCGUUAGCUUUACAGAACUUAAAGAAUUAACGAGUUACAGGGAAGGAGUACUUAUUGUUUUUCUGAAAGUAUAUCCAAAAACGAAAUUCAACACAAUCUCUUUCAAAAGUCACCAAUCAAAACUUCAAGCUUCAAGCAUGAACCCAUGACUCCUUGACUACUAUAUCUCACAUACAAGCUCUCAAUUAAAAAAGGAAGGGAGUACUCAUCAGAUUUUGGUUGAAUAAUUAAAAAGGGAAAUUACAAGGAUUCUGUUAAAGAAAAGGAAAAGGUAAGUUUGUUACCUUGUUUACUUAUGGCUAGAGAAGUUGCUACCUUUCCUUAGUUCCAAGCUUGAAUUGAAGAGAAUGGUUAGAGUGAGAGGGAGUAGGCGUGAGAGGAAGAGGGAGUAUUGGAAUGGUUACUGAGAAAUGAAUUUGAUAGAAAAUGGGUGAUCUUGGAGUGGUUAGGCAAUUAAAUACUCUUCAUGCUCAAAUUACCAACUU